This 390-nucleotide ribosomal RNA is filed under the name Brevibacillus sp. B94. RNAcentral's name for it is "bacterial SSU rRNA". It matches the Rfam family "Bacterial small subunit ribosomal RNA", at positions 140 to 507 of the family's 1533-position model. The record is from RNAcentral. Lineage: Bacteria; Bacillati; Bacillota; Bacilli; Caryophanales; Paenibacillaceae.
GGGAUAACAUAGGGAAACUAUGCUCAAUACCGGAUAGGUUUUUGGAUCCGCAUGAUUUCGAAAAGAAAAGAGGGCUUUUUCGCUAUCACUNGGGAGAUGGGCCUGCGGCGCAUUAGCUAGUUGGUGGGGUAACGGCCUACCAAGGCGACGAUGCGUAGCCGACCUGAGAGGGUGACCGGCCACACUGGGACUGAGACACGGCCCAGACUCCUACGGGAGGCAGCAGUAGGGAAUUUUCCACAAUGGACGAAAGUCUGAUGGAGCAACGCCGCGUGGAACGAUGAAGGUCUUCGGAUUGUAAAGUUUCUGUUGUCAGGGACGAACACGUACCGUUCGAAUAGGGCGGUACCUUGACGGYACCUAGACGAGAAAGCCACGGCUAACUACGUG